This 253-nucleotide ribosomal RNA is filed under the name uncultured bacterium. Its description in RNAcentral is "partial 16S ribosomal RNA". It matches the Rfam family "Bacterial small subunit ribosomal RNA", at positions 524 to 776 of the family's 1533-position model. The record is from RNAcentral.
UACGUAGGGGGCAAGCGUUGUCCGGAAUCAUUGGGCGUAAAGCGCGUGUAGGCGGCUCGGUAAGUCUGCUGUGAAAACUCGAGGCUCAACCUCGAGACGUCGGCGGAAACCAUCUGGCUAGAGUCCGGAAGAGGAGAGUGGAAUUCCUGGUGUAGCGGUGAAAUGCGCAGAUAUCAGGAAGAACACCCGUGGCGAAGGCGGCUCUCUGGGACGGUACUGACGCUGAGACGCGAAAGCGUGGGGAGCGAACAGG